GGGGCUGAGCUGGAUUUGACAGCGGGUUAAACUGGUAUGUAAGCAUGCCGAGCGUGGGGGUUUGGCUCGUUAAUCCCAGGUCUCAUACUUAUAAUUGGCGAUAAUAAUUAUGCUCUCGCUGCUUAAUUUUACUCAGUAAAAUUAG
RNAcentral lists this transfer-messenger RNA (145 nucleotides) under Bacteroidales bacterium. Its description in RNAcentral is "partial transfer-messenger RNA". It matches the Rfam family "transfer-messenger RNA", at positions 1 to 144 of the family's 374-position model. From Rfam's summary of the family: Bacterial tmRNA, also known as 10Sa RNA or SsrA, is named for its dual tRNA and mRNA-like properties. Lineage: Bacteria; Pseudomonadati; Bacteroidota; Bacteroidia; Bacteroidales. The record is from RNAcentral.